RNAcentral lists this unclassified non-coding RNA (222 nucleotides) under Hevea brasiliensis (rubber tree). Lineage: Eukaryota; Viridiplantae; Streptophyta; Magnoliopsida; Malpighiales; Euphorbiaceae. The record is from RNAcentral.
AAAUUUACAAUUUUUUUCCAUAACGCAUAAAUAAUCUUAUUCUCAUAACUUUUAUUUUCUACCAUUUUACAAUAUAUCGUUAUUAAUUUUUAUACUAUUUAAUUUCUUCCAAAAUAUAAUAAAAUAUCAAUUAAUAUUUUAUUAUCUCAAAAAUACUUAUUUCUAUAAUAAAAUUUACAAUACUUCUAUAAUUAACUUUACAUAUAAUUAACACUAUCCUAA